CCUACGGGAGGCUGCAGUGGGGAAUUGUUCGCAAUGGGCGCAAGCCUGACGACGCAACGCCGCGUGGAGGAUGAAGAUCUUCGGGUCGUAAACUCCUGCGGGAGAACCCGCGGUACCGCUAAAGGAAGCCCCGGCUAACUCCGUGCCAGCAGCCGCGGUAAUACGGGGGGGGCAAGCGUUGUUCGGAAUUACUGGGCGUAAAGGGCUCGUAGGUGGCCAACUAAGUCAGACGUGAAAUCCCCAGGCUCAACUUGGGAACUGCGUCUGAUACUGGAUGGCUUGAAUUCGGGAGAGGGAUGCAGAAUUCCAGGUGUAGCGGUGAAAUGCGUAGAUAUCUGGAGGAAUACCGGUGGCGAAGGCGGCAUCCUGGACCGAAUUGACACUGAUGAGCGAAAGCCAGGGGAGCAAACGGGAUUAGAUACCCUUGUAGUC
Molecule: ribosomal RNA, 432 nt
Filed under: uncultured bacterium
Lineage: Bacteria
Description: partial 16S ribosomal RNA
Rfam family: Bacterial small subunit ribosomal RNA
Source: RNAcentral